RNAcentral lists this long non-coding RNA (382 nucleotides) under Olea europaea subsp. europaea. The record is from RNAcentral. Lineage: Eukaryota; Viridiplantae; Streptophyta; Magnoliopsida; Lamiales; Oleaceae.
GCCCAGACAGCGAUGGGUUCUCUGCCCUUGCGGGGAUAGAAGUUUUGAGAAUUCAAGAGAAGGUCACGGCGAGAUGAGCUAUUUAUCAUUACGAUAGGUGUUAAGUGGAAGUACAAUGAUGUAUGUAGUCGAGGCAUCCUAACAGACUGGUAGACUUGAACCUUGUUCCUACAUGACCUAAAGUUUGGAAGACUACGUUUGAUCCUGAAAGGGAAUGAAUGGAAAAAAUAGCAUGUCGUAUUAACGGAGAGUUCUGAGUCUAUUUCAUUUUUAUCAGAUCGGUACAAAACCCUGUUCGAAUUCUUGGAACGGAACAAAAAAAAAGUUGGGUCGAAUGAAAAAAUGGAUAGGGCCUUCCUUUUUCCGAUAUAUGAAAUAGGGG